AGACAAGCGCCGGCGGAACGGGUAUCAUUGAUGUUGAUAAAUAGGAAUAAUUUCUCCUUGUCUG
RNAcentral lists this transfer RNA (64 nucleotides) under Arion vulgaris. RNAcentral describes it as "tRNA-Ile". Lineage: Eukaryota; Metazoa; Mollusca; Gastropoda; Stylommatophora; Arionidae. The record is from RNAcentral.